Molecule: ribosomal RNA, 1482 nt
Filed under: metagenome
Description: bacterial SSU rRNA
Rfam family: Bacterial small subunit ribosomal RNA
Source: RNAcentral
AGGGUUUGAUCCUGGCUCAGGAUGAACGCUGGCGGCGUGCCUAACACAUGCAAGUCGAGCGAGAUUAUUAGGAAGCUUGCUUUUUAAUGAUUUAGCGGCGGACGGGUGAGUAACGCGUAGGUAACUUGCCUUUUACUGGGGAAUAACACUUGGAAACGGGUGCUAAUACCGCAUAAUACUAUUUUGGGGCAUCUUGAGAUAGUCAAAGGAGUAACCCGGUAGAAGAUAGACCUGCGUCUGAUUAGCUAGUUGGUGAGGUAAAAGCUCACAAAGGCGACGAUCAGUAGCCGAACUGAGAGGUUGAUCGGCCACAUUGGGACUGAGACACGGCCCAAACUCCUACGGGAGGCAGCAGUGGGGAAUAUUGCUCAAUGGAGGAAACUCUGAAGCAGCAACGCCGCGUGAAGGAAGAAGGCUCUUGGGUUGUAAACUUCUUUGAAUGGGGACGAAAAAAAUGACGGUACCCAUAAAACAAGCCACGGCUAACUACGUGCCAGCAGCCGCGGUAAUACGUAGGUGGCAAGCGUUAUCCGGAAUUACUGGGUGUAAAGGGCGUGUAGGCGGGAGAAUUAGUCAGAUGUGAAAUGCCAAGGCUUAACCAUGGAACUGCAUCUGAAACUGUUCUUCUUGAGUACUGGAGAGGAAAGUGGAAUUCCUAGUGUAGCGGUGAAAUGCGUAGAUAUUAGGAGGAACACCAGUGGCGAAGGCGGCUUUCUGGACAGUAACUGACGCUGAGGCGCGAAAGCGUGGGGAGCAAACAGGAUUAGAUACCCUGGUAGUCCACGCUGUAAACGAUGGAUACUAGGUGUAGGAGGUAUCGACCCCUUCUGUGCCGGAGUUAACACAAUAAGUAUCCCACCUGGGGAGUACGGCCGCAAGGUUGAAACUCAAAGGAAUUGACGGGGGCCCGCACAAGCAGUGGAGUAUGUGGUUUAAUUCGAAGCAACGCGAAGAAUCUUACCAGGGCUUGACAUGUUAAUGAAGUCUGUAGAGAUACAGAUGUCCUUCGGGACAUUAAUGCAGGUGGUGCAUGGUUGUCGUCAGCUCGUGUCGUGAGAUGUUGGGUUAAGUCCCGCAACGAGCGCAACCCUUAUUGUUAGUUGCCAGCAAGUAAUGUUGGGCACUCUAGCGAGACUGCCGGCGAAAAGUCGGAGGAAGGUGGGGACGACGUCAAAUCAUCAUGCCCCUUAUGUCCUGGGCUACACACGUACUACAAUGGCCGUUACAGAGGGAAGCGAAGCGGUGACGUGGAGCAAAUCCCCAAAGACGGUCCCAGUUCGGAUUGUAGGCUGAAACUCGCCUACAUGAAGUUGGAAUUGCUAGUAAUGGCAGGUCAGCAUACUGCCGUGAAUACGUUCCCGGGCCUUGUACACACCGCCCGUCACACCAUGGAAGCUGACUAGGCCCGAAAUCGUUGUAAACGCCUAAGGCACAGUUAGUGACUGGGGUGAAGUCGUAACAAGGUAGGGCUACUGGAAGGUG